UGGGGAAUAUUGCACAAUGGGGGAAACCCUGAUGCAGCCAUGCCGCGUGUGUGAAGAAGGCCUUCGGGUUGUAAAGCACUUUCAGUUGUGAGGAAAGGUUGGUAGUUAAUACCUGCCAGCUGUGACGUUAACAACAGAAGAAGCACCGGCUAACUCCGUGCCAGCAGCCGCGGUAAUACGGAGGGUGCGAGCGUUAAUCGGAAUUACUGGGCGUAAAGCGCACGCAGGCGGCUUGUUAAGCUAGAGGUGAAAGCCCCGCGCUCAACGUGGGAACUGCCUUUAGAACUGGCAGGCUAGAGUCUUGGAGAGGGGAGUGGAAUUCCAGGUGUAGCGGUGAAAUGCGUAGAUAUCUGGAGGAACAUCAGUGGCGAAGGCGGCUCCCUGGCCAAAGACUGACGCUCAUGUGCGAAAGUGUGGGUAGCGAACAGG
RNAcentral lists this ribosomal RNA (429 nucleotides) under uncultured bacterium. RNAcentral's name for it is "bacterial SSU rRNA". It matches the Rfam family "Bacterial small subunit ribosomal RNA", at positions 355 to 776 of the family's 1533-position model. The record is from RNAcentral.